Molecule: long non-coding RNA, 1380 nt
Filed under: Homo sapiens (human)
Lineage: Eukaryota; Metazoa; Chordata; Mammalia; Primates; Hominidae
Description: PCCA divergent transcript
Source: RNAcentral
GGGAGUCGCGCUAGGACCUGGAGGGCUAGUCGGCGGGCUGCGCGUCCGGCCGCUAGCUGAGCUGGAGGCCACCGGCCAGAGCCGACCCCAGGAGUGAGAGAGACAGGGGCGUGCGUGAGUUCCGGCGGCCUGCACCGGGCAAACCCCGUACCUUCCCAGCAUCGGCUCAGCAACCCACGUGCAUCCAGGCCGGUCAAUGUCAUUGAGUCACCUCCGCGCCUUGGCCACCCUGGAGUCCCGAGAAUCCGAAGUUCCAGACAAAUGCCCAAACUACAUUCCUGCAUGUUCGAAAGCGUAAAUUGCAAAGCACAAAUCCAGAAAUGACAAUAAAGGCUUUGGGCCGCGCUUCUGUCCUUUGCUCCUUCUGCCUCCUGACCAAUCCUGAUACUUCACUCUAUGGCCCUAUGUGUCAUGAUGUGGCCCCUUCUCUUCAGGAACUGGCCACCUGGAUCUGCCUAUACAGGAGGAAAAAUAAAGCCACCAACUUUUACACAGCCCUGCUAAUCAUGGAAGUGUGUCCAGGCUUCAAAUAACUUGAGUUUUAAUUUCUUAAAUUAAAAUUGGGAAAUAUAUUUAAUAUUUAAUACUAAGCUUUAAAACAAAACCUGCUAGCAUUGUUAUGUAUCCUGAUGCAAAGACUAUGAUGUUAAUAAAAGAUAGUACAGAAGACAAAAAAUAAAAUAGAAUAAAAAUAAAGGCUUUCUCUUCCAGAGUUAUAUACUGAAAUGUUUAUAGAUACCAUUAUUUCAUGGCUGGGGUUUGCUUCAUAAUAAUCUGGAGUUGAGGACAGUGGGUGGCAGCUAACUGGACCAAGAUUGACCAUGAGUUGACAAUUGUUGAUGCUGGAUGAUAGGAAAUGAAAGUUCACUAUUCUGUUCUGUAUGCUUUUGUGUAUGUUUGAAGUUUUUCAUGGAAUACGAAUGAACUAUACACAACAGGGAAUGAAUCUCACAAAUAUUAAGCCAAACAAAAGAAGCUGGACCAAAAAAGCAAGCAUACAGUAUGAUUCCAUUUAUAUAAAGUUUAAAACAGGCAAAACAAAUCCAUGAUGUUAGAAAUCAGAAUAAUGGUGGCUGGGUGUGGUGGCUCAUGCCUGUAAUCCCAGCACUUUGGGAGGCCAAGGUGAGUGGAUCACCUGGGGUCAGCAGUUCGAGACCAUCCUGGCCAACAUGGUUAAACCCUAUCUUGACUAAAGAUACAAAAAUUAGCUGCACGUGGUGGCAGGUGCCUGUAAUCCCAGCUACUUGGGAGGCUGAAGCAGGAGGAUCGCUUGAACCCAGGAGGUGGAGGUUGCAGUGAGCCGAAAUCGUGCCAUCGCACUCCAGCCUGGGCAACAAGGGUGAAAUUCCUUUUCAAAAAAAAAAAAAGAAAUCAGAAUAA